Long non-coding RNA from Dama dama (fallow deer), 4039 nucleotides. RefSeq lists it as uncharacterized. The transcript has 3 exons. NCBI's taxonomy places the organism in Eukaryota, Metazoa, Chordata, Mammalia, Artiodactyla, Cervidae. The record is from RefSeq and is a predicted model, not a curated record.
AGGCGGUCUUUACAGAGAUUGGCAAUUAAUUUAAGCCAAUCUCUGGCGAGGUCGGUGUGAUGCGCUUGCGUUUGGACUGAGUUACUUUAGCGUUAACCAGAAUCCUUUUCUAGUCCCGUCGUCUAAGCCAAUGGCUGAGUGGCGGGGGCGGGUGUAAGGUGACUGACCUCACCCUAGGCAAAUGACAAUGAAGGAAAUGGAGGUGCCCCGUUUUGGUGGGAGCUAGAGGAAGCGCCGCUGCAUUGGGGCGGAGCCAGCCACCAGAUGCCGGGAGGGGAUUAGCCGGAACCGGAUUGAAUGGCAGCCGACGUGGGCAUUGGCCACCGGCUGCAGGAAUUCAGGCCUGACGUCUGGGUUAGAGUCCCCGGAGGCCGGCCGGGUAAGCCAGGCACGUGGCCUGCUUGAGGCCUUGGAGACGGGUGCUUCCGGGGGUGGGGUGGCCCCAAAGCAAGAGGAAACUCAGGGAUCCUCUCAUACCCUCUCCUCUUUCCAUCCAGGGAUCUAGGGUCUUUACUUCUCUUCCAGAACGCAUGGAACCGGCUCUCCUACCAACUCAAGGGUCUAGAUUUCCUCCCAGGACCGAGGACUCUUAAUUCGACACCCUACAUCAGCUUCACAUAAGGACAAGUCGCAGCAAGCCAAACUGGAGUCCAGACUAGUCCCAGGCUGCACCCAGGAGAGGAGGCACCAGGAAUUUUCUGACCCAGGCAACCAGCCUGCUUCUCCUGACAAAUCUGCCCUCGGUCCCGAGCCUGGAAGGCCCUUUGGGGCCAGGGGACACUGGAUCUUCCCCUCCAUUUCUGCCCAGGGUGGUGGACAGUGUCACAGACGAUAGACUGACCAGGCCACUAGGGUCCUUCAUGUCCUUGCCUGACUUCAGCCAAAGACACUUGAGCAUCUAGGAGAGAAGAAGGCCAGGAGGAAGCUCUCCAUGGGCCUGGAUUCACACCGCCCCUGCCACCCCCUCUGAGGGACCCACACCUCAUAGACGGCCAGGUCGGUGCAGGCAUACGGGAUGAUGCCGAGCAUGUUGGGGAGGUACCCGCGGUAAAGGGCGCGGGUGCCCUCCUGCUCCAGGAUCUGCCUGGCACAGUCCAGCAGCCCCUUGUACUGGCCAGUCCGGCGCAGGGUCAGCCGCGUCUUCAGCACCUGGGGAGGAUGAAGAGUAAGGCGGCUUAUUUGAGCCUCAAUGACCCCCCAGCACAGGAGGCAACUGCUCAAGAAUGCACACAGCUGGGUUUCAAACCCAGCUGCCUCGGCCCGUAAGUGCUCUCAAAGGGUGAGGGAGGGAUUUCGUCGGCAGUUCAGUGGUUAAGACUCCAUGCUUCCACUGCAGGGGGCACAGGUUUGAUUCCUGGUUGGGGAACUUAAGGGGGCUUCCCAGGUGGCGCUAGUGGUAAAGAACCCGGCUGCCAACACAGGAGACAUAAGAGAUGCAGGUUCAAUCCCUGGGUCAGGAAGAUCCCCUGGAGAAGGAAAUGGCAACGUGCUUCAGUAUUCUUGCCUGGAGAAUCCCAUGGACAGAGGAGCCUGGUGGACUACAAUCCAUGGGGUCGCAUAGAGUCGGACACAACUGAAGAGACUUAACAUGCACUCAUGGGGAACUAAGAUCCUGUGUGAUAUGAGAUACAGCCAAGAAAAUUAAUAAAACUAAAAAAAAAAAAAAAAGAUGAGAGAAGUGAUGUGAGCUGAGUGGGGCCUGCAGCGGCCCUAACCCAGCCAAACUUCCUCUACUUGGACCCCAGGUAGGCAGAUCUGCCAGUUUUCCCAAAGAAGCCAGAAACUGGAGUUUUUAUGAAAUGCCCCAACAUCAAAAUGUUGGCAACUCAACAGUUGUGGAAAAGACAGCACACCGUUUGUGGUAGGCAAAAUAAGGUGGUCCCCAUGGUUCCGGUCCCCCUUAUACACAUGCUUUGUUUAAUGGCCUCCCUUUGCCCUUGAAAAUGGUCUACACCUGUGAGCGUGAUGGACUGUAACUCUCUUGGAUCAGGGUACACAAAGCACAAAGGCAGAGGGAUUUUGCAGAUAUAAUAAAGCCCCUAACCAGUUAACUUUAUUUUUUAGAUGUUUUUUAAUUGGCAUAUAAUUGCUUUACAAUGUUGCCUUAGUUCCUGCUGGACAGUGAAGUGAAUCAGCUUUACAUGUACAUAUAUUCCCUCCCUCUUGGAUCUCCCUCCCACCUGCCCCCAUCCCACCCAUCUCCAUCACAGAGGUGAGCUUCCUGUGUCACCAGUUGACUUAAGUUAAUCAAGAGAAAUCAUCCUGGGUGGGCCUGACUCAAUCAGGUGAGCCCUUUAAAAGAGUCAGAAGAAGAGAUUGAAGGUUCAGAAACAGUUUUGGAUUGGCGUUUUAUAUCUUGGCCAUGCUUCUCGGCUCACAGGAUGUUAGUUCCCCAACCAGAGACUGAACUUAGGCCCGUGGCAGUGAAAGAAGUGUGGAAUCCUAACCGUUAGACUGUCAGGCAGCUCCCUAGGGUUGGUCUCAAACAAACUGUUAUGGAGAGGACCACAGGGCAGGGAACAGUGGGUAGCCUCUGGGAGUUGAGGACUGUCAGUCCUACAACCAUAAGAAACAAUCCUGGUAAUAACCAGGGAGCUUGGCAGAGGACGCCCGAGCCUCAGAUGGGUUCAUUGGUAGCCCAACUGUCUGACACCUUGAUUUCCGCCUGAUCAAACCCUGAACUGAGGACCCGACUAGCCAGUGCCCAGACAUGACCCACGGAAACAAUGAGAUAAUAAAUCUGUAUCAUUUUAAAAGCUCUUGAGUGUGGUAAUUUGUUAUGUAAAAAUCAAAAUAAAAACACAGAUGCAAACUAUUAUAUAUAGAAUGGUAAAGAAGGUUCUACUGUAUAGCACAGGGAACUUUAUUCCAUAUCCUUUAAUUAACCCUAAUGGAAAAGAUAUAUUUUUUUCUUUAAUGUAUUUAUUAAAAAUUGCAUACAUGUGACUGAAUCACCUUGCCAUGCAGGAGAAAUUAACACAACAUUGUAAAUCAACUAAUUUUCAAAAACAAAAACACGAAGAAACUCAACCAGACAAGGGCAAGAAUUAUGUGAAGAAAGCUUUAAAAGACUGUUUAGGGAACAAAAGAGACUUGACCAAAUGGAUGUAUUCUUGGAUAUGUAGACCCAAUAUUGUAUAGAAAGUGAAAAUGAAAAUUUUCGUUGCUCAGUCAUGUCUGACUCUGCAGCCCCAUGGACUGUAGUCUGUCAGGCCCCUCUUCCAUGAAAUUCUCCAGGCAAGAAUACUGGUGUGGGUUGCCAUUCCUUCCUCCAGGGGAUCUUCCCAACCCAGGGAUCAAACUUGGAUCUCCUGCAUUGCAGGCAGGAGCCACUGUCUGAGCCACCAGAUGGCAAUAAUCUCUAAACUCACUUGAGUUUAGAGUAAAUGAGUAAAAAACAAAUACCAAUGUGUGAUUUUGUUUUCUGAACAAGGCAGAUUACUUCUAAUGUUUUAAAAGGAAAAAUAUCAAUGGAGAAUAGCCUGGAAAACCAAUAAGAGAAGGGAUAGAGAAAAAUAAGACAUAAUAUCAAGCCUCAAAAAUGAAAGACUGGGCUGGGACUUCCCUGGGUGUCCAAUGGUUAAGACCCUAAUCCAAUGUAGGGGGCGAGCAUUCAAUACCUUGUUGAACAUAUGCCACAGGGUGCUGCCAAAAGAAAAAAAGGGGGCAAAACCAUAUAGACAGUAACAUGAUCAGUGGUUGUUAGGGACUGGAGGAAGGAGGGAGAGGUGAAUAAGUGCAGUACAAUGACUUUUUAGGGCAGUGGAAUUUUUCUGCAUGAUGCUAUUAUGGUGGCUACGUGUCAUUCGUUUGCCAAAACCCAUAGCAAGUCACAACACCAAGGGUGAACCCUGAUGUCAACCAUUGGCUUUAGUUAAUAAUAAUGUAUCAAUAUUAGCUCAUCAAUUGUAACCAAUGUACCACCCAAAUUCAAGUUGUUAUUGAUAGCGGAAACUUCGUAUGUAAGCCAAGAUAUAUAUGGGAAUGCUCUUGUCUUUUUUACCUAAUUUUCCUGUAAACCUAAAACUGUGCUACAAAA